Molecule: long non-coding RNA, 1528 nt
Organism: Rhineura floridana
Lineage: Eukaryota; Metazoa; Chordata; Lepidosauria; Squamata; Rhineuridae
Exons: 6
Source: RefSeq, a predicted model, not a curated record
CACCUGGCUGGCUGGCUGGCCUUCCCUCCCCAUGGCAGCAUCAGGCCAGCCAGCACUGGUGAAUAGUGGUGAAUGAUGCGUCUCUAUGCUUGGGACAUCGGACAUCAGCUCCCCAUUGGUCUCUGAGGUUACUGAGUGGAGGAGGCCAUCUGAGUGGAGAUGAAAGUCUCUAUCACGCCAGCUCGCUGCAGUACAUGCAUGAUCCGGCAGGGCUCCUUCUUAUGUUUUCAACAACCCUGUGAAGGAACACAAUUUUGUGGACACUGAAAUCCUGCAUGAAGAGAUAAUCACGAUAGUUUUGUUGCCUGUCCCAGAAUCCCUUGCAACGUUGAUUCGGCUAGACCCCUCACUCUGGUUUCCUGCUCUUGCACAGCCACAGGAAUAUCCUCAUCAUCGUGGGCCAGUGUGGUGUCACAGUUAGAGUGCUGGACUGGAAUCUGGGAGUCCUGGGUUCAAAUCCCCACUCAUUCACAAAAGCUCACUGGGUGGAAUUGGUUGGAGAUUGGGAAGCUGCUUUGUGGAGAAAGUUCCUCAAAAAGUGAGGUAUAAAAAUAAGUAAAUGUAAGGGGAAUCCUGAGCUUAUUCGAAUAGGCUCUUAGGUGCUCUCCUGAAGCACAAUUAAAAACGGCCCUAGAUUUCCACCGUCUCUUAGGCUCCUUCCCACCCACUAGGCCUCAGCCUGCUCCGCUGGCAUUGGCUCCCCUCAGUACGGAUUCUCCCUUCUUCCGUCACCCUUUUUCCAGCUCCAGUUCAAGCUUCCUUCUUUUUUCUUUUUGCUAGGUUCUGAGGUCACUUUUAAGGGCUUCUCACCUCCCUUUUGUCACCUGAACAAUAAGUAACCCGGGUAGUUAGUUAUAAACUCAAAGGGAACAAGAGCCUGGUUGAUAAUUUAUAGCAGCAUCUCAAAUUUAAAUGGAAAGCAAAUAUCAAGUUGUUAGCAUUAAAAGAAAACCCAAUCCAGAGAACUGGGAAAGCAACAUGGGGUGGGGGGGAGAUGCCUUGAUGUUCCACUCUUAAUGAGGUUGUGGCUUAAAUAUUAUUUCCCUCUUUAAAAAAGAAAAAAACACCACCCUCUCUGUCCAGCAUUCUUUUUUGCUGUCCACUCCCUAUGACUGCUUUUUCCCAUUAUUUCCAACCGCUUCUCUGGGCAAUGUAGGGCUGGGUUUAGUGCAAGAAGGACCUUUGAUCCCUCUGAAAAAACUAAUUUGGGAUUCCUGCUUUGGACCAAGCCUGGACUCAAGAUCACCACCGCUUGACACCGUUCCUGGUCUUUGAACCCUGGAGCCUGCGUCUUUGUUGGUUUCACUGAAUAAAUUGGACUUGGAAGGGGCAGAGAGGAAGGAAGUGGCAGCUACUGGCUCCAUGUCAGUGGGGCACUGGAAUCUGCUCCAGAUUUUAGUCUGCAAUUUCAAGGAGCUGUCCAAGGUGCUGAAGCAACCUGAAAGUUCGGACUAGGACAUAGGUGGCUGAUGCCAGAUUGAAAUGGUCUCUUGCUGGUUUCCAAGCAUUAAACAGUUUAAACAUCUGA